AUAUAGCGUAUGUUUUAGUUUUAAAGCAUCAUUCAUUUAUUAUAAACUAAAACUAUUUUACGUGUCUCACUGUUCUAUGAUUUGAUGGUAAAUUUGACAUGUUUGGCAUAAGGAACUUUGGUUCUAUGCUUAAUAUAAUUCACAUUGCCGACUCUGUCACUAAGUUAAUUGCUCGAUGUAAGUUCUAUGUAAAAUUUUAUUGAAGGCUUAGACUUUUUUGUUGUUUCAAUUGGUUUUUGAACCGAAACCGCACCAAUUAAAACCGUACCGCACACUUUAAAACCGCACCGCACCAAUC
This 298-nucleotide long non-coding RNA is filed under the name Panax ginseng (ginseng). RNAcentral describes it as "long non-coding RNA (PGIN_LNC001566)". Lineage: Eukaryota; Viridiplantae; Streptophyta; Magnoliopsida; Apiales; Araliaceae. The record is from RNAcentral.